CUCCAGUCUCUCCUGGGCUCUCCUGGCGUCGCGGCGUCCGUCGCUCGUCGGCGGAUCCGUCGGAUCAUGAACUAGUCGAAGCCCCUCUUAAAUUCGGCAUCCGGUUCCGUUCGUCGCGUUCCGAAGAUCGUUUCAAAUUUCCGAUGUGAAAAAUACUCGGUACGAACGAUCCGCGGAGCGAUUAACAAGAGUCAGGUUUGGUUGGGACGCGUCUCGCAGGAAGCGAACAGCUGUUCGUAGUGCGUAUCGGGCCACGCGUCGUUCGUAGACUCGGCGUCGGUAAGCAGUUUCCUAACUUACCGAGCGGCUCGGUUUUUCCCCGUUUCUUCCCGUUCUUCGCUACUUUCUCGAUCGGAACGCUGCGGGAAAGAACAUGUCCGUCAUCGUUGAUCGGCUCCGUCGCAUAAUGAAAGGCGAAGACUCUCGGCCGGUUAACGAUGAGAAAGAGAUCAAGGGAUACCGAGUGACAAAUGCCGAUCGCACUCGGAGAUUCGGGGUCGCUUGCAAGGAUUUUCAGGAGCUUAAAAGCAAGGCCUGCGCAAAGUUUAAUAUUUUAAACCCCGAUGAGCGGGAUAGAGUGACGAUUUGUCUCGUCGACGGAUCGGUAAUCGACGACGAAUAUUUUCAAUUGGUAGAACCGCAGACUACCUUGAUACUGCGGCGACAUGGGGAGAAGUUUUUGUCAGAUGCUGACAUAUUAUACAACACGCUGCGUCAAGUCAAUCUCGAGUUCAUAACGACCGGCGAUGCGAUAUCGAGAUUUCUCACCGAGAAUCUAAAGUCGAAGAUCGCAGUUUUGAACAAGGCUCUGAACAAGAACGACGAAAAGACUAGACUCAGUUCGAGGGAGGAUCAUCCCGACUGGUUUAAGAAUUUGGAGACGACGGCCACAACUAAAGAGGCCUACAUGCACCGCAGAUGCCAGGACAGGAUCCGGUGUUACCUGUACAAAACGAUCGAUCAAAUAAAGACUUCGGACGUAUAUUCGAAGAACGAAUCGGCAAGGCGUCGUCUGUUGCACGUGAUGACGUAUUUCAAGCUCCAACUGAAGGAGGAUCACUGUUUCGGUUUUUACUUUGACCGAAGUUACGCAAGAGGGGCGAAAAAUCGGUUGGAGAUCGGCCGAUCGAUCGGCGAAAAAGAAGAAGAAGAAGCAGAAAAACCUGCGAAUUUGAGUUCGGACGAGGCGGAUUUCAGCGCCUCGGUAUUUUCGUGCCACCAUUUUCACUGUCCGUGCAAAAUCGGCGCUGUCUCUGCAGGUUUCUGGUCGCCGUGGAACAGCAACCGAUUUCUCGCGGAAUUUUUCCCCGAGGAAAACGAUAGCGACGAAACGGACGCCAGACGAAUAUCUCCCGUUAAAAAAACAACCGCUAACGAUAAAUCUGCCGAUUUAUGUCCCUACGAAAUCGGCAAAAACGACGAAACGGUGCCGCGAUUCGCGCUCUGUAAUUCUGACGGUGAAUUCAGAUGCGACGGCGUCUGGAGCGCCGAUCGAUGUGCUUACGCCGAUAGGCACUCCAUCAAUCCUUACCGAUCAUACGAGGAACUGGUUCUCUUUUCGACGUGGAAUUUCGACCACAGAGUUAGACGCUAGUCAAAUCACGAGGUCAUGGCUCUUCUUACCUACAAUCAGCCAGCCUUCCUUUUACGCAUUGUGAAUUUAACGAUCCGUCACUGUUUCGGGCAAAUCAUCAUCCUCGCGCCUGCAGGGUUUGGCAAUCCUAACGACGUCUUCUUCUUGGUCCAUAAUAACUAUCUACCGACGUGGCUGCGGGAUGAUCCUUGACGGACAAUGAAAUUGGAUCGAGAGAUCGCGAACUCUGAUACCAAACCUGUUGCGAGCGUCUGAGGAGAAGGCGAUAAGUCGUGAGGAUCUAGUUCACCUCUACGAGAAUAUAUUCACGGUGAAAAAUCUACGACUGGUGC
This 1926-nucleotide unclassified non-coding RNA is filed under the name Neodiprion pinetum (white pine sawfly). Its description in RNAcentral is "dNA fragmentation factor subunit beta, transcript variant X2". Lineage: Eukaryota; Metazoa; Arthropoda; Insecta; Hymenoptera; Diprionidae. The record is from RNAcentral.